This 273-nucleotide ribosomal RNA is filed under the name uncultured Prevotella sp. RNAcentral's name for it is "partial 16S ribosomal RNA". It matches the Rfam family "Bacterial small subunit ribosomal RNA", at positions 83 to 354 of the family's 1533-position model. The record is from RNAcentral. Lineage: Bacteria; Pseudomonadati; Bacteroidota; Bacteroidia; Bacteroidales; Prevotellaceae.
CCUUGAUGACGACUGGCGCACGGGUGAGUAACGCGUAUCCAACCUUCCCAUAACUACGGGAUAACCCGUUGAAAGACGGCCUAAUACCGUAUGACAUCGUUUGCUGACAUCAAAUAACGAUUAAAGGUUUAGCGGUUAUGGAUGGGGAUGCGUCUGAUUAGCUUGUUGGCGGGGUAACGGCCCACCAAGGCGACGAUCAGUAGGGGUUCUGAGAGGAAGGUCCCCCACAUUGGAACUGAGACACGGUCCAAACUCCUACGGGAGGCAGCAGGU